UCCGAGCGCCUGGACCGGGAUGGCGGCCGUUUUGGAGUCGUUGCUGCGAGAGGAGCUGUCGGUCGCAGCCGCUGUGCGGUGGAUCGCGCGCAGCGCCCAGAGUUCGGAGGAUGACCCCGGGGAGGCGGCCGCGCUGAUCUCACUUCGGCCGCUGCGGAAGGAAUUCGUGCCAUUCCUGCUGAACUUCCUGAGGGAACAGAGCAGCCGCGUCCUCCCGCAGGGCCCCCCAACCCCCGCCAAGGCCUCGGGCUCCUCGGCAGCCUUGCCAGGGAGACCCGGGGGCCCGCCGCGGGGUGGCCGCGGGGCGCGCAGCCAGCUCUUCCCUCCGACCGAGCCUUCGAGCCCCACCGCCGCUGAGGCCCCUUCGGCCCGCCGUGGGGGCAGGAGGCGGGGCCCGGGGCCGGCCCGUGAGCGAGGAGGCCGCGGUCCCGGGGCCCUGGAGGAGGGGGUCAGCGGGGAGAGCCUGCCCUGGGCCGGGGGCCGGAGGCCCAAGAGCUCUGGCAGCCCCGGCAGCCCCAGCCUCGCGCGCUCUGAUCCGCCAAACCUCAGCAACCUGGAGGAAUUCCCUCCCGUAGGCUCGGUUCCCCCCGACUCUGCAGGCAGGACCAAGCCUUCACGCAGGAUCAACCCAACUCCGGUGAGCGAAGAGCGGUCACUCUCCAAGCCCAAGACUUGCUUCACCUCACCCCCAAUCAACUCUGUCCCCAGUUCCCAACCCUCAGUCCUGGACACUAGCCCUUGGGGCCAUAGCCUUUCCCCAGGGUGCAGAAGUCUGCAAGAGGAGCGGGAGAUGCUCAGGAAGGAGCGCUCUAAGCUGCUGCAGCAGUCACCUGCUCCCGCCUGUCCCACCCCAGAAUCAGGAUGUCCUCACCCCAGCCGAACAGGAAACCUCACAGCUGAACCCGCUGACCCUGCCAGAGUAUCCUCCCGUGAGCGUCUGGAGCUGGUAGCCCUUGUCUACUCUUCAUGCAUUGCAGAAAACCUGGUACCAAACCUCUUCUUGGAGCUUUUCUUCGUCCUUCAGCUCCUUACCGCCCGGAGGAUGGUGGCUGCCAAGGACAGUGACCUUGAACCAAAUCCAGGAGCCGUAGAUUCCCUGGAAAGCCCUCUGUUCCAGAGUGUCCAUGAUUGUGUCUUCUUUGCAGUGCAGGUUUUGGAGCAUCAGUUUCACGUUCUUUCCCACCUGGACAAAGGGACCUUGAAGCUGUUGGCUGAGAAUGAACGGCUACUGUGCUUCUCACCAGUUCUGCAAGGCCACCUGCGAGCUGCCUACGAGGGCAGUGUUGCCAAGGUCUCUCUGGCGAUGCCACCUUCUGCACAAGCUGUCUCCUUUCAGCCAGAAACUGACAAUCGUGCCAACUUCUCCAGUGAUCGAGCCUUUCAUACUUUUAAAAAACAGAGGGAUGUGUUUUAUGAGGUGCUUCGAGAGUGGGAAGAUCGCCAUGAAGAGCCUGGCUGGGAUUUUGAGAAGGGCUUGGGCAGCAGGAUCAGAGCCAUGAUGAGUCAACUCUCUGCAGCCUGCAGCCACAGCCAUUUUGUUCGACUUUUCCAAAAACAACUUCUCCAGAUGUGUCAGAGUCCUGGUGGUGCUGGGGGCACUGUCUUGGGCGAGGCUCCAGAUGUGUUAAAUAUGCUUGGAGCUGACAAGCUGGGGCGGUUGCGGCGCCUGCAGGAACGGCUUGUGGCCCCUCAGAGCAGUGGGGGGCCCUGCCCACCCCCCACCUUCCCAGGCUGUCAGGGCUUCUUCAGGGACUUCAUCUUGAGUGCCAGCAGCUUCCAGUUUAAUCAGCAUCUCAUGGAUAGCCUGAGUUUGAAGAUCCGGGAGCUCAACAGCCUUGCCCUGCCUCAGCCUGAGCCCAGUGAUGAAGACGGGGAAUCAGACGUGGACUGGCAGGGUGAACGGAGGCAGUUUGCUGUGGUGCUGCUCAGCCUGAGGCUUCUGGCUAAAUUCCUGGGCUUUGUGGCUUUCCUGCCAUACCGGGGGCCCGAACCACCCCCGACCCGUGAGCUCCAGGACACCAUUCUGGCCCUGAGGAGCCAGGUGCCCCCGGUCCUGGAUGUGCGGGCUCUGCUGCAGCAGGGGCUGCGGGCCCGGCGAGCAGUGCUCACGGUGCCCUGGCUGGUGGAGUUCCUUUCCCUGGCUGACCACAUCGUCCCCAUGCUGGACUAUUACCGCAGCAUCUUCACUCUCCUGCUGCACCUGCAUCGGAGCUUGGUCUUGUCAAAGGAGAGUGAAGGGGAGAUGUGUUUCCUGAACAAGCUGCUGCUGCUGGCUGUCCUGGGCUGGCUUUUCCAGAUUCCUACAGUCCCUGAGGACCUGUUCUUUCUGGAAGAGGGUCAGUUGGAUGCCUUUGAGGUGGACACAGUAGCUUCAGAGCAUGGCUUGGACAGCAUGCCUGUGGUGGACCAGCACCUGCUCUACACUUGCUGCCCCUAUAUUGGAGAGCUCCGCAAACUGCUCGCCUCCUGGGUAUCAGGAAGCAGUGGACGGAGUGGGGGCUUCGUCAGGAAAAUCACCCCCACCACCACCACCACCGGCCUGGGAGCCCAGCCUCCCCGGACCACCCAAGGGCUGCAGGCACAGCUGGCUCAAGCCUUUUUCCACAACCAGCCACCCUCCCUGCGCAGGACCGUGGAGUUCGUGGCAGAGAGAAUCGGCUCGAACUGUGUCAAGCAUAUCAAGGCCACGCUGGUGGCAGAUCUGGUGCGCCAGGCAGAGUCGCUUCUUCAAGAGCAGCUGGUGACGCAGGGACAGGAAGGGGGAGAUCCAGCCCAACUGUUGGAGAUCUUGUGUUCCCGGCUGUGCCCUCACGGGGCCCAGGCAUUGACCCAGGGGCGGGAGUUCUGCCAAAAGAAGAGCCCUGGUGCCGUGAGGGCAUUGCUCCCUGAGGAGACCCCGGCAGCUGUUCUGAGCAGUGCAGAGAACAUUGCUGUGGGGCUUGCAACAGAGAAAGCCUGUGCUUGGUUGUCAGCCAAUGUCACAGCGCUGAUCAGAAGGGAGGUGAAAGCGGCUGUGAGUCGCAUGCUUCGAGCCCAGGGUCCUGAGCCAGCUGCCCGGGGGGAGCGGAGGGGCUGCUCCCGUGCCUGUGAGCACCAUGCUCCCCUCCCCUCCCACCUCAUCUCCGAGAUAAAAGAUGUGCUCUCUUUGGCCGUGGGGCCCCGGGACUCUGAGGAGGGAGUUUCCCCAGAGCAUCUGGAGCAGCUUCUAGGCCAGCUGGGCCAGAUGCUGCGGUGUCGCCAGUUCCUGUGCCCACCUGCUGAGCAGCAUCUGGCAAAGUGCUCUGUGGAGUUAGCAUCCCUCGUUGUUGCAGAUCAAAUUCCUGUCCUAGGGCCCCCGGCACAGCAGCAGCUGGAGAGAGGGCAGGCUCGAAGGCUCCUGCUCAUGCUGGUUUCCCUGUGGAAGGAGGACUUUCAAGUGCCGGUUCCGCUGCAGCUGCUGCUGAGGCCAAGAAACGUGGGGCUUCUGGCAGCCACUCGGCCGAGGGAGUGGGACCUGCUGCUGUUCUUGCUCCGGGAGCUGGUAGAGAAAGGUCUGAUGGGACGGAUGGAGAUAGAGACCUGCCUAGGCAGCCUCCAUGAGGCCCAGUGGCCAAGGGAUUUUUCUGAAGAAUUAGCAACACUGUUCAACCUGUUUCUAGCUGAACCCCAUGUGCCACAACCUCAGCUAAGAGCUUGUGAGCUGGUGCAGCCAAACCGGGGGACUGUGCUGGCCCAGAGCUAGGGCUGGGAAGCGGCCCUACCUUGGGCAUCUCGCCAGAGCGCUGGAACCCAGCCUGACUGUGCCUCAGGAGGAGGCCCCAGAGCCACCCCAAGUGCCCACCCUGACCCUUGCUGGUGUGGAAGUAGCUCAGUCUGUCAUCAGGCUUCCUGCUCACAUGCAAAGGAAGAGAGUGGCAGCCUGGCAUUCCCGUGACUGUGGGCUCACCAUCCCAAGUCCUAAAGGAAGCAGGAGGGGGUCACCCGAUUCAGGAUUAUGGUGGAAGAACCUAGAGACUCCAGUCCUGGAGAAGAGUUGGCAUUUAUUAUGAAAUGAUGUGUGGGGGCUUGUCGGCACAAGAUUCAAGCCCCACUUGCUGCUGUCCCAGCAUCUCUUAGAGCUUUGUGGUUUGGGAAAUCAUGACUGACAGAGGGAAGUGACUUCUGCUUAACUUGUGUGGCUGAACGAAAGCACUGCCCCAGGAAGCUGAGCCCCGAGAAAUUUACCUUUUACCACAUCUUCUCAAUCCCCAUAUGGUCGCCCUCUUCCACCAAAGACUCUGGGCACCAGAACUGAAGCUGAGAAUCUCUCCGACCCCUACACUUCAGAAUAGAAGGGGCUACAGCAGUGCGUGGAGUGCUCAAGGCUGGGACCAAAUCUCUGAGUGAGUGGAGCUGACUGCUGGAGCACAUUCUGAGCAGAGUCUUGGCCAAUGGCUCCUGCUUCCCUACCAGCCCCAGGGCUGCGCCGAACUAAGUAAGCACCAUGUCAGAGCACUGCAGGCUCCCAGCUCUGCUGGCUGUGUCCAGUCCUGAUCCUUGAGUGGCCUGUAUGCCAUAGGGUCCCAGAGACGGGCAAAAAAGGUGAGAAAUCCAAAAAGGUGAGUUGAGCUUCAUUCACUCUGGACAGCUGGGAGCUCAGGCCCCCGCGCUCUGCAGAGGUGCCAGCUGUGACCAAGUACUGACUAGGUUUCGCUGGCAACUCACGGAUGAGUGCUGUCUGCCCAGUUGGCCACAGCAGGUAGCCUCGGCUCUUCUUAACAUCAGGAUACAGAGAGUAACAAGAGCUGCCCCAGCAUCCCUGGGGUGUCCUGGAGCACCAUCUUGACCGUGAGAUGCUAACUACCAAGGAAGGAAGCCAGUCUGGCUAUAACCAGCGGCUGCUGUUUGAUGAAGGAGCUUAGGAGCUGAGGGGGGAAUCCUGGAGCACCAAGUUCUACCUGAAAUAAACCAGAAAGGGAAGAGUUAAAGGUGCAGACAGACCCAGGAGAGUGCACCGGGGCACACUUCAGCCAUAAGCAGCCACCCCAGGUUGCUGUGAUUGGAGAGGCUCUGAACUGAACUGUCUACAGCCCUGUGCUCUGCUGUUCAGAUCUAGGCAAAAGCUUCACUUCCCAAUGACAAAAGGUCACGUCAGGGAACUGAGGGUGCUGCUCUGCCUCACAAUGACUCAUCUAUCUCCUGAGGACCCUGGGAACAGCCAGAGGAUGUAGGCCGCCAGGCUCUGUGAGGGGCUGCAGGAUCCAGGCACUGGGCAGGAUCUCCCCUCGGACCAUCUCCCUGCUGGGUCUCGGCAUGGACGCAUCAUACACAGACUGAGCUGCCAUGAUAGACAGUUGCCCCUGGAAACAGAGCAAUAGUCGGCUACAGGAAACCUCACAUCAGCCAUAGAGAUGUCCACGAUGUGCUUGGCCAAAUCCUUGGAGGAGGAGGAGAAGGAGGUCCCCAGGCUGGACAGACUGUACGGAGAACAGCAGCAACUGCCCAAGGAGGCUCUGCGGCCUACAAUGAACAGGUGGAGACUCUUGAGACGGCAUGAGCAUCAGGGCCUCAGGGCAGCAACGGCCUCCUUCAAUAAUAAUGUCCCUCCUCCUGAGGGACAAUGGCUCCCUAGGAUCUAGCAGACCUCAGCCCCAAAGUCCCCACACCAGGUAGGUAGCUCUGCCCCACCACUCACUGCAGGCUGAGGUUUUCCAGGCAGAGCCGGCCAGGUUCAGCUGACUGUUCCUCACUGCAGAGCGGCCCCACACCUCCCCUAUCCAGGAGUCUCUGGAAUCAGGCAAGUUUGUGUCCCCCUGCAGAAGAGAAGAUGCUCAGGACCAGAGCAGAGGCAGGGAGAGAGCAGAGCACCAGAAAGCCAGUGCAGAAUUAUCUCCUCUGCCUCUGAACAGCACCAAACAGCUUUCAACAUAAAGGCUCAAGUGAAAAGGUGUUCCCUGCUGGAUGCCCUUGAGAAGUCAACCGCAAUAGAAACCAGUCCCCUGGAGAGUUUCCUUGCCCUUCAAGCCACACGCUCAAGGUUGCUUGUAGGAGAGUUCCAACAGGAAUCAGAAUGAACUGGGACCUGAGACGAUGGGGUACCAGGGGUCAGUGAGUGGGGGGGCCCUCUGCGCCACUGCAGCAACAGGAAUGAGGCCAUGGCUGGAGCUCUGUUUAAUGUGGGCAGCAAACAAAGCCCAACUGGGAGGUGGGAGGUGGGAUGGGGAAGAAAAGUGACGGGCUGUGAGAAAAGCUUGACCCUGGGUCCCAGCCCCAGGUACAGCAGCUGAGCCAAAGGUCCUAAUUUGGAACCAAAUGGGGAUGAUCCUCUCGAUUUGCAAUACAGCCACCACACCUUUACUACAAGCAGCUUCUCAAUGACAUGACCCUUGACCUCUGCUGGAUCUAACAGGCAUCCACUAUCCUACCUCUAUCAUCGGUUCCUAACCUAGUGUUACUUUUAAAAAAAAGUGAACAAAGAUAUUCUGUCUCCAUCCCUACGUCCUUUCUUCCUGCUGCAGCAUCCAAGUGGUCUCUCCUACUUCAGGCAGAUUUUUGUGCCACCUUCUCAAGAACCUUUCACUACUGAUCUCUUUCUUCACUUAUUGCCUCCACCUCUCCUUCUUCACUAGAUUCUUCAUAUCAGCAUUUAAGCAUGCAAAAAUUUCUCCCACCUUUAAAAACUUUCCUCUACAGGCAUCUUUGCUCUUUUGUCCUUUACAGAUAAACUUGAAAUGACUGUCACCGUUUGCCAUCUCCCACCUCUUAUACCCUUCUGAAUGCACUCAAAUCUAGCCUUUGCUAGAUCCAUGUGCCUGGAUGUGGUGAACAGGUCCCAGUCCUCAUCUUAACUGAGCAUCUCCCUUUCACUUGCUUCCUGAAUCCCUGGGAUCUUGGCUUUCUGUCUCUCUGGGUGUUCCUUCCCAGUUUCUUUUGUUGGCUCAUCUUCCCCAAACAUAAGUUGAUUUAUUGGGAUUCUUUCAAGACUCGGGCCUAGGCCCUCUUCUCGCUCUAUAAUAUACUCCUCUGUGAUCCCAUCUGUUCCCAGUGCUAUACUGAUGACUUCCAAAAGUAAAUAUGUGUGGAUUAAUCAAUAAAUAUUGUGAGACGACAGGGUCACCGUCUGAAGAAAAGGUUACAUCAGACCCAUUUCACACAUCUUGCCAAAACAAAUUACUUAUGCUUUGUGGCUCAAAAAUAUACAGGGUGGGGGAGAAUUUAAUAAUACUAUGAGAAAAUUUUUUUAAAAAUUUAAUGAUCUCAUAGUGCAGAAAUGCCUUCCUAAACAGGGCACAAACUCCAGAGGCCAUGAAAGAAAAGACUGAUAAAAACUAGAUUAACAUAUCAUAAAAACAACUGGGAAAAAAACCCACUGGCCUCUCAAAUGGCAAAAGGAUAACUGUCUUAAUAUAAGGAAAGGCCACCAAAAACAAAAGAACCUAACAGAAAUGGACCCAGUACACUGGCAGGCAGAGCAAAAAGCCAAAGGGCUCUUAAAUAUCUGAAAAGGCACUCCAUCUCAGACACAAGAGAAUUGCAAAUUAAAACUAAAAUGAAAUACUAUUUUAUGCCUAUAAGAUUCACAAAGAUUGAAGGAAAAAACCCUUAAUAAACACUGUUAAGCAGAAAUGUGGGUAAGUAGGCACUUAUAUAUUGUUAUUUGAGAGUGUAAAUAGGUAUAUUUUGAAAAUAUUCAUCACAUAUUUUAAAUUAAAAAUACAUAUAUCCUUUGACACCUAGCAAUCCUGCUUCUAGGUAUUUAAUUACAGAUAUUCUUUCAUUUAAGUGGCAAUAAACAUUUUCAAAUAUGAACUCAGAGAACCUAGAGAAUAUAGUGCGCUUGAGUCUUUCUUGAAGAAAUUACAAGAAGAAUUACUAGGGUAGAAAAAAGAAUGUACACCAAAGAACUGCAAAUGAGCAGAGUCCAUUUGAUCUAGCACGAGAACUAGAACUCUGAAUACAAACACUGUAAAUAGUAUAGAAAUACCGUAACAAAAGGUAAUGAGAAAAAAUGAGAGAAGGUGGAAAUACACUGAUUUCCUCAUGUUUUACAGCCAGGGUGAAAAGAAAACUGCUAAAUCAAGAAAUAAAGACUAUUUAAAUAUACAAAAGUAAUGAUGAAAAGAAAAGAAAGGAAAAAAAAAAGGCUUCCAAAUUACCAGAAAGAAGACACAUAUAUACCCCCAAAGCAAGGAAAACACAGACCACAAAGAAGAUAAACAAGAUUUUUAGAAGCCAAUGGAAUAUUCAU
Globicephala melas (long-finned pilot whale) is the source of this 8206-nucleotide non-coding RNA. The record is from RefSeq and is a predicted model, not a curated record. NCBI's taxonomy places the organism in Eukaryota, Metazoa, Chordata, Mammalia, Artiodactyla, Delphinidae.